UUUCCCCCAGGAUAGCUGGAGUACAGCAAAAGCACAGUUAUAUUCGGUAAAGCGAAUGAUUAGAGGAAUUGGGAACGAAACGUUUUCAACCUAUUCUCAAACUUUCAAUGGGUAUGAAGUGCUCUGUUCAUUAACUGCAUGAAUGGUUGUUGCUUUA
This 157-nucleotide non-coding RNA is filed under the name Gongylonema pulchrum. Its description in RNAcentral is "Eukaryotic large subunit ribosomal RNA". It matches the Rfam family "Eukaryotic large subunit ribosomal RNA", at positions 967 to 1124 of the family's 3401-position model. Lineage: Eukaryota; Metazoa; Nematoda; Chromadorea; Rhabditida; Gongylonematidae. The record is from Rfam by way of RNAcentral.